GACGAACGCUGGCGGCGCGCUUAACACAUGCAAGUCGAGCGAGAACCAGGGCUUCGGCCCUGGGGACAGCGGCGAACGGGUGAGUAACACGUGGGUAAUCUGCCCUCGGCACCGGAAUAGCCCGGGGAAACCCGGAUUAAUGCCGGAUGGCCCGUCGACCCUUCGGGGCUGACGGAAAAGGUAGCUUAGGCCUCCGGCCGAGGACGAGCCCGCGGCGGAUUAGCUUGUUGGUGGGGUAAUGGCCCACCAAGGCUCCGACCCGAGCUGGUCUGAGAGGACGAUCAGCCACACUGGGACUGAGACACGGCCCAGACUCCUACGGGAGGCAGCAGUGGGGAAUAUUGGACAAUGGGCGCAAGCCUGAUCCAGCAAUGCCGCGUGAGUGAAGAAGGUCUUCGGAUUGUAAAGCUCUUUCGACGGGGACGAUGAUGACGGUACCCGUAGAAGAAGCCCCGGCUAACUUCGUGCCAGCAGCCGCCGCAGU
This 484-nucleotide ribosomal RNA is filed under the name uncultured bacterium. RNAcentral's name for it is "bacterial SSU rRNA". It matches the Rfam family "Bacterial small subunit ribosomal RNA", at positions 28 to 524 of the family's 1533-position model. The record is from RNAcentral.